This 468-nucleotide ribosomal RNA is filed under the name uncultured Enterobacteriaceae bacterium. RNAcentral's name for it is "bacterial SSU rRNA". It matches the Rfam family "Bacterial small subunit ribosomal RNA", at positions 916 to 1381 of the family's 1533-position model. The record is from RNAcentral. Lineage: Bacteria; Pseudomonadati; Pseudomonadota; Gammaproteobacteria; Enterobacterales; Enterobacteriaceae.
ACGGGGCCCGCACAAGCGGUGGAGCAUGUGGUUUAAUUCGAUGCAACGCGAAGAACCUUUACCUGGUCUUGACAUCCACGGAAGUUUUCAGAGAUGAGAAUGUGCCUUCGGGAACCGUGAGACAGGUGCUGCAUGGCUGUCGUCAGCUCGUGUUGUGAAAUGUUGGGUUAAGUCCCGCAACGAGCGCAACCCUUAUCCUUUGUUGCCAGCGGUCCGGCCGGGAACUCAAAGGAGACUGCCAGUGAUAAACUGGAGGAAGGUGGGAUGACGUCAAGUCAUCAUGGCCCUUACGACCAGGGCUACACACGUGCUACAAUGGCGCAUACAAAGAGAAGCGACCUCGCGAGAGCAGGCGGACCUCAUAAAGUGCGUCGUAGUCCGGAUUGGAGUCUGCAACUCGACUCCAUGAAGUCGGAAUCGCUAGUAAUCGUGGAUCAGAAUGCCAUGGUGAAUACGUUCCCGGGCCUU